RNAcentral lists this unclassified non-coding RNA (265 nucleotides) under Bluetongue virus. RNAcentral's name for it is "RNA from Bluetongue virus (PDB 1H1K, chain K)". Lineage: Riboviria; Orthornavirae; Duplornaviricota; Resentoviricetes; Reovirales; Sedoreoviridae. The record is from RNAcentral.
AAAAAAAAAAAAAAAAAAAAAAAAAAAAAAAAAAAAAAAAAAAAAAAAAAAAAAAAAAAAAAAAAAAAAAAAAAAAAAAAAAAAAAAAAAAAAAAAAAAAAAAAAAAAAAAAAAAAAAAAAAAAAAAAAAAAAAAAAAAAAAAAAAAAAAAAAAAAAAAAAAAAAAAAAAAAAAAAAAAAAAAAAAAAAAAAAAAAAAAAAAAAAAAAAAAAAAAAAAAAAAAAAAAAAAAAAAAAAAAAAAAAAAAAAAAAAAAAAAAAAAAAA